Molecule: transfer RNA, 71 nt
Filed under: Pseudenhygromyxa salsuginis
Lineage: Bacteria; Pseudomonadati; Myxococcota; Nannocystales; Nannocystaceae
Also listed under: 1 other name
Description: tRNA-Asp
Rfam family: tRNA
About the family: Transfer RNA (tRNA) molecules are approximately 80 nucleotides in length. Their secondary structure includes four short double-helical elements and three loops (D, anti-codon, and T loops).
Source: RNAcentral
GCCGCAUUGAUGUAAUGGUAACAUGCAUGAUUGUCGAUCAUGCCUCAGGGGUUCGAUUCCCCUAUGCGGCG